GAAAAAUGUGGUUACUAUAGCAACUGCCACAUUACACUUAUGCAGUCUUUGGAAUAGAUUAAAUUGCUGAAAACCUCAAGGUUUUGUUUGACUCUGUUGAGAACUGCAGCUAAAUGUACUGAAGUUACUUAAUCAAAGUCAUUGGUGCCUCUGGGUUUACACUGAAAAUGAUGCAAGAAGAGUCUAUCAAUACGGAAAUCCUGAAUCAUCCUCUUCAACACAUCACUGCAUUUGCACAAGGACGCUGGCUGGACCCAACAGGCUGGUGGGCUGAAACACUUUUGGCUGCAGAGAAGGGAUUAAACUUGGACUCCAUUAAGUGACUGGAAUUCAGUGAAAGGAGUAAAUCUUGGCUUUCUGACUUUUCAACCAGACAUCCAUACCCUGCUGCUGCAGAACUGGCAAGU
Non-coding RNA from Taeniopygia guttata (zebra finch), 407 nucleotides. The record is from RefSeq and is a predicted model, not a curated record. NCBI's taxonomy places the organism in Eukaryota, Metazoa, Chordata, Aves, Passeriformes, Estrildidae.